Molecule: RNA transcript, 7712 nt
Organism: Amphiprion ocellaris (clown anemonefish)
Lineage: Eukaryota; Metazoa; Chordata; Actinopteri; Pomacentridae
Exons: 3
Source: RefSeq, a predicted model, not a curated record
UUUAAUUAAUUGAUGAUUAACUGACAGAAGAUUCUUCUGCAACUGUUUAUCCUAUUUGAUAAAGGUUAUUUUUUCCUUUUUAGCAAAAAUGUCAAGUUUUUUGGUUCUAGCCUCUCAAACAUUAAGAAUAGCUGCUGGUUGGACACAAGAAGAAAUCUGACGGUCCAACGCCGAGCUUUAGAUGUCUGUCAUGGACAUUUUACACUACAAAAUGACAUGUGAUAGUUCAAAUGCAUUUCUGAUUAAAUUGUCUAACUGACGAAGUGACUAUCGGGUGAAUUAAAUAUCGAGAGGGAUGUAGUCUUGCAUUGCCAGACUGUUCUCCACAGUGCUGUCAGUGCGGCAGUGCCCCACAUUAAAUCAAUGAACACAAUGUACGUACAUCAGGCACUUUGAUUUAUCUUAAUUGUCUUUAAAAUGUAAAGGUUGAAGCAGAAAUUAGUUUUAAAUAAAUGUAUGGUGGUUGUGUCAAUUGCAUCUGACUGCACAAUUAUAGAAAACUAUAUGAGAAAAACAAUGUUUUAUUAUUUUAACAAAAUAAUAAUAAUUAGAAGAAGAAGAAGAACUAGAAAAGCACUCAGAGAGCACAGUACUCUGCCAAGGCUGUUCGUUCCCCCAUAUGGCAGUGUCAGUGUAGAAAAGGCUGCCCAGAGACUGUCAUGCUGGCCCUUUAAGGGGCGGAGCUUAGACCUGCAGCGCAGCGUGAGAGAGGAGAGAUGAGGAAAGGAGAGACAGAAAGUUCACGUUUUUCAGUACUGUUGCUUGUUAAGACCUUAACAGUUUAAGUUGGUGGUUUGUUUGUGUCGAAUGCCAAAGCCUGUGCGUGAAAAUAGAAACCACACUGGCAACGACUAAUGUAAGUCAAGUUCAUUAAAAGACAACAAACCAACCAGAGGCUCCUUAUUUAGAGUUCUAACCGGACUCCCAACAGUGAUUUGGACUUUCCUACCAGUCAUUCGUAUCUUUUAAUGGUCCUUCGAGCCGGAUACGCAAAUUGCUGUUUAAAGAUGCAGAACUCAGAGUUAGAAGAAGCAAGAGUCGCUCGACCCAAACGAAACACGUCAACACCCUCUUACCUUUCUGACUUUGACCUGAGUGGACCAGGGGUGCAGAGAAUAUUCCAAUUACCAGCUGCAGCUACAGGGGGAGUUAUGGUGGAGCCUACACCGUUGACACAUCCAACUACAAGAUCUCCAUCACCACCUAUUAGCCAGACCUUUGAAACAGCUAACAUGAGAGAUGUUGGGGAGCAGGGACAGAGGUCCAGCCAAGGUUUGGAGCAAGCCACUGGGGGUCAGCAAACCAACCAAUUUUCUGAGUUCACUGCUGUUCUCACAGAGAUGCGCCAAGAGAAUGCUGAGCUCCGCAAACAGUUCCAGAGCUUGAUGGCCGCCUUACAGCCCCAGCCAGCACUCCACCAGUCUCUACUCCCACCUCCUCCAGUUCAAGGUACAUACAGUGGUGGUUAUGACGGACACUACCAAUCCCCAAUCAGAGCUCCAACCAACACUCCAGUGCACCAGCAGUUACAAUAUCCGACACUCAGCACCAAAGGAAAUAUUGCACAAGAUUUCUCUCAACUCAGAGUUUCCCAAUCAUCCAGAGACCUGCCUUAUAGUCCAUACUAUGCAGCAUCCCAGCAGAGUGCACCCCGGGUGGACCUGUAUGGCCGCUCGUUCCAAGAAGGUGGUUCACAAUAUGGAGCUUCAUAUGCAGGUCGAGAUUCUUCAUUCUCCCAAGCGCCCUACCCCAAUAUGCCACAGAGAGAGACCACAUACAGGGGACCAAAGCCCACAAUUCCCAGCUUUAAUUCACCAGAUCCUAGAGAGUUUGCACGCAUGAAGAUUGCUCUAGAGAAUCUAUUACCAGAUAAUGCCACUGAGAGAUAUAAGUACCAGAUUCUCACAGACCAUCUUAAGUGUGAAGAAGCCUCACUCGUAGCCGACUCCUAUUGCAACUCCAUGCAACCCUAUACAGAUACAAUGAUGGCUCUCACCAGGAUGUAUGGACAGCCCCACAAGCUCGCAGUUCAACGGAUUGCAGAUUUAAUGGAUGGUCCAAACAUACGCAGUGGUGAUGUUAAAGGCUUUCGUCUGUUUGCCCUCAAUGUGCGGUCAUUAGUAGGCAUGUUGGAACAGCUGGAUCAAAGGGGCCAGGUAGAGUUAACUUGUGGCUCUCAUGUUUCGAGGUUGUUAAGUAAACUUCCCCAUGACCUCAACACCAGCUUUAAGAGAUUCAUCCACCCACAGAGAGUCGCCAUUCCCACCCUCGUCGACUUUGCUGAUUGGCUAGAAUACGAGCUAGAAGUUCAGGAAGACAGCAUUAGACCCCCUAAGAGAGAAGAGUCGUUUAACAAGAAGCCUGAUACCAAACGCACUCUCAAACCAUCAAGUAAGUCUGCUACUAUCCUCCUGGGCACUGAAAAGGAUUCAGGAUCAAGCACUGCGACAGCACCACCUGCAUCUAAACAGCUAACCAGCAAGUCAAGGAGAGUGGAGAAGGUAAAUGCCUACUGUCCCUAUUGCGACAAUGACAAGCACUUCCUGAACAACUGUUCUAAUUUCAAGGACUUGAGCAAGGAGCAAAAGGUGACAUGGAUCAAAGGGAACAAUAAGUGCUGGCGUUGUGGACGCAAUCACCAAGCGGCGAAGUGCAACUUAAAGCUCCCUGCAAGAUAUGUGGUAGGAGACAUCUGCUAGUGCUGCAUGAGGUGAAUGAGCGGGGAGACAAGGAGGAGCAGGCACCAGUUCCACCUUCAACAGAAAGCUGCCUUGUGAACACUGCUAACAAAAUACUGUACGUCGACCGCCCAGCCUACAACUGCAAGGUGUUACUGAAGAUCAGUAAAGUCUUCUUGAGGAACGGUGACAAGUUCUUGGAAACGUAUGCUGUUCUAGACGACGGAUCUGAGCGGACGAUACUUCUCCAGCCUGCUGCCAAACAGCUGGGUCUCAAAGGAAGUAAAGAGGUGUUGGCUCUCCGCACAGUCAGACAAGAAGUGGAGAAGCUCCAUGGGGCAACAGUGUCUUUCACGAUUUCACCUGCUGCCAAUCCUGACAAGAUGUAUAGUAUCCAGAAUGCAUUUACAGCCGAGCAACUGAGUUUAGCAGAGCAUUCUCAUCCAGUUGCCUCACUCCAGCAGAAGUAUAAACAUCUGUCCGGUUUGCCCCUUUCACCUCUAAAUAGAGUCCAUCCCAUGCUGCUGGUUGGUGCAGACCAUACGCACCUCAUAACACCCAUAGAGCCAGUCAGACUAGGGCCACCUGGUGGGCCAGCAGCUGUGAAGACGCUCCUCGGAUGGACGCUACAGGGACCAGCUCAAGCCAUCAAGUCCAGCCCUAAUGUAAGUCACUGCCUUUUCACAUCUGCACCAUCCCCCACAGAGCUGUUCUCAUGUGUAGAGAAGUUAUGGCAGAUGGAUGUGCUCCCUUACCGCAGUGAGAAGUUGGCGGUAAGGUCACGACAGGACCAAGAGGCAGUCAAGCUCAUUCAAGAAAAGACAGUGAGAGUUAAUGCCAAUGGCACCAAGCGUUACGCUACACCCCUGCUUCGAGUCAAGAACAUGCCUCUCCUCAAAGCAUCUCCAGAAGCUGUAUUGCCACUCCUGAGAGGUACAGAGAAGCGCUUAGCCAAAUCUCCGGAACAAGCAGCGACAUAUCAGAGGGAGAUCGAGAAACUUGUAGAAGCUGGAUAUGCAGUGAAGUUGGAAGAUCACCAAGUUGAGAGCAGUGUAGAAGCUUGGUAUAUACCCCACCAUAUGGUUCAACAUAAUGGAAGGAACCGUGUGGUGUACAACUGCUCAUUCCAGUACCAAGGUCACAACCUCAACCAGCUCCUCCUGCCAGGUCCCACUCUUGGCCCCGCCUUGCUCGCUGUGCUAUUACGCUUCAGAGAGCAUGCUGUUGCCUUUAGUAGCGAUAUCCGUGGCAUGUUCCACCAAGUGCGGCUCCUGCCUGAGGAUCGACCUCUUCUGCGGUUCUUAUGGAGGGACAUGCAACGGGACCAUCCACCUGAUGUGUACGAGUGGCAGGUACUUCCCUUUGGAACUACUUGCAGCCCUUGUUGCGCAACGUUUGCGUUGCAACAACACGUCACAGACCACAGCAAGCCAGAAGAAGACGUGCGUGUUGUUAUUAACAAAUCUUUCUAUGUGGACAACUGUUUACACAGUCUCGCUUGUCCAGCAACAGCCAGGACUCUUGUAGACAAACUGCGCCAUCUCCUGGCUGAUGGGGGAUUCGAGCUGAGACAGUGGGCAAGUAAUGAUCCAAGUGUCGUUGACCAUCUCCCUCCAGACCAGAAAUCAUCCAGCUGUGAGUUGUGGCUCAGUCAAGGUCAACAAGACAUCCAAGAGCCAGCCCUUGGACUACACUGGAACUGUAAGGCUGACACCCUCACUUAUAAACACAGACACAUUGAUUGCUCAGUGACUACUAUGAGGAACAUAUAUAGAGUUUUAGCUAGCCAGUACGAUCCUCUUGGCUACAUAGUGCCCUAUACCACAAGAGCCAAAGUCAUUGUGCGCUACCUGUGGGAAAAGAGGAGGGAUUGGGAUGACCCACAACUCCCAGAGGAGCUCCUGGAGAAGUGGCAUGCAUGGGAAGCGGAGCUGGCACACUUGUCCGAGAUAACACUGCCCAGGUGCUACACCAGUUCCAAUCUGGAUCAGCCCCAUUGCACAAGAGACCUCCAUGUGUUCUGUGACACCUCUGAACAGGCAUAUGGAUCAGUGGCUUAUCUGAGGACAGAGAAUCCAGAGGGAGAAGUUCAGGUUGCCUUCCUUGUAGCCUGGUCUCGUGUUGCCCCAAGGAAGCAGCAAUCUGUCCCUCGUUUAGAGUUGUGCGCCGCUCUAACAGGUGCUCAACUCUACAAAGUCAUUAGUACCGAGUUAACCCUUCCCAUACACAGUUGCACUUUGUGGUCUGACUCAGCCACUGUCCUAACCUGGUUGGACUCAGACUCCUGCAGAUACAAGGUCUUUGUGGGCACUCUUGUGGCGGAGAUACAAGAGCUGACUGAAGCCGCUACAUGGAGGUAUGUGCCCUCACGAGAAAACCCGGCAGACGACAUCACCCGUGGCCUCACCCUCCGAGACAUUAGUCGGGGCGGUAGAUGGACAGAUGGCCCUGCUUUCCUGAAACACGCUCCGCAAAACUGGCCUGAUCUCCCGCCUCCACUCCAGAGCGAUCCUGAAUGUGAGUUGAAACGACACAUUGUCCUAACCAUGUCCAGUUCUAGUGUUCCAGAUCCACUCCAGUACCAGACCUGGGACAGCUUUCUGGAGGCCACCGCGCAUCAGCAUCAGCUUCACGGGGCGGCUGACCCCAACAGUCCUCUCACUGCUGAUUCCUAUGAUGCUGCUGAACUGGAAGCCUUGCAACAAGCCCAGAGAGAUUCAUUUCCUGAAGAAGUGACUCAGUUAAAGGCUGACAAACCCAUUGCCAAAUCUAGUCGUCUUCUUCUACUUGCCCCUGAGUUUGAUGAGAAGACAGGGCUCAUCAGAGUAGGAGGUCGACUUCGCCGCAAUCCUGACAUGACAAAAGAUGAAGUGCACCCCAUUGUCCUCAACCCCAAACAUGCUCUGACCCGACUCAUCAUACAAGAUUAUGAUGGGAAACUCCAGCAUCCGGGGCCAGAGAGGGUGUUCGCUGAGAUCAGAAGGAGAUAUUGGGUGCUACGUGGACGUGAAGCAGUACGCCGCCACCAAAGAACCUGUGCUGAGUGCAAGAAGUGGAGAGGUCACCCAAAUCCACCCAGGAUGGCAGAUCUCCCUCCAGCCCGACUGCGUCUCUUCAAGCCGGCAUUUUAUUCUACUGGCGUGGAUUGCUUUGGGCCAUACAGCAUCAAGAUAGGACGCAGGAACGAGAAGAGGUGGGGGAUUUUGUUUAAAUGCUUAACCACCAGAGCCGUCCACCUUGACCUGAUUCCCAGUAUGAGCUCUGAUGCAUUCCUAAUGGCCCUGAGACGCUUUGUGGCCAGGCGAGGGAAACCUAGAGAAAUCCUGUGUGAUCAGGGGACAAACUUCCGAGGAGGAGAACGUGAGCUCCAGGAGGCAUUUCAGACACUUCAUCCUGACCUCAAGGAGCAGCUAGCCAGCCAGCAAAUCAAGUUUGUCUUCAACCCCCCUGGAUCCCCACACUUUGGAGGAUGUUGGGAAAGGGAAAUUCGCUCUCUGAAGACCGCUCUCAAGGUGACCAUUGGGGCCCAAACAGUUACUGACGAAGUGUUGCACACAGUCUUAAUUGAAAUUGAGGGAAUACUCAAUUCAAAACCCCUGGGCUACACCUCAUCUGACGUAGCGGACCCUGACCCAGUCACACCCAACUGUCUCCUCAUGGGGCGGCGGGACGCUUCGCUGCCGCAGGUCGUCUAUGAUGGCCCAGAGAUUAUAGGGCGAAGAAGAUGGAGACAUAGCCAAAUGUUGGCUGAUCAUUUCUGGCAACGUUUCAUUAAGCACUAUCUGCCAGGACUCCAAGCCCGACAGAAAUGGCAGACUGAGUCAGCCAAUCUUCAAGUUGGAGACGUUGUUAUGAUAGUUGACAGUCAGCUGCCACGGGCUAUGUGGCCUGUGGGGAAAGUCUCCCAAGUCUUUCCUGGACCAGACACCCGAAUCAGAUCUGCUGAGGUGACGGUGAAGGGAAGAACCUACGUCCGGCCAGUGGCAAGACUCAUCAGCCUACCUGCCCUGCCUAAGGACGAUUGAUCACCCCUUCUUUCAGCCUUUUAGUUGUUCGCAUUCACAGGUGAAUGCGGGGGCGGCUGUAGAAAAGGCUGCCCAGAGACUGUCAUGCUGGCCCUUUAAGGGGCGGAGCUUAGACCUGCAGCGCAGCGUGAGAGAGGAGAGAUGAGGAAAGGAGAGACAGAAAGUUCACGUUUUUCAGUACUGUUGCUUGUUAAGACCUUAACAGUUUAAGUUGGUGGUUUGUUUGUGUCGAAUGCCAAAGCCUGUGCGUGAAAAUAGAAACCACACUGGCAACGACUAAUGUAAGUCAAGUUCAUUAAAAGACAACAAACCAACCAGAGGCUCCUUAUUUAGAGUUCUAACCGGACUCCCAACAGUGAUUUGGACUUUCCUACCAGUCAUUCGUAUCUUUUAGUCAGAAAUGCAGUAUUUCCUUUUUUUUUUUUUUUUUUUUUUAGAAAUGCAGCAUUUGUUUAUUAGUUAUUGAUCAUCAGAAAUCAUGGCAACAUUGAAUAUGUCAUUUUAAUAUAGAUAUACCCACAAACACAAUGACCUUGAGCUGAGCACAGGCUUGUGUUAUGCAUGUGUACAUUAUGUACAUAUACCAAAUCUUGUGACCUAAAUCUGGAAUUGAUGGGACUCGGAAAUACCCCCACAAUUUAAUCGAUUGUUCCUUGUAUCAUUUCCGACGGACAAGUCCCGAUAAGUAGCAAUGGUUGAUCGCAAUCAUGUGAUCAGGCAGUAUGUUCUCUUGUUGUCAUGGUUACAGUGCCGCAGUGCCACUAUCUCGCAAUAAUACAGAAAUCUUCAACAAAUCUGUGGAUCCAGACUAUAAGCCGUAUCACUGCCAAAAUCUAAUCAGUUGGUCCUUCUGUUAUUUCUGACCUUCCCUGAAAAUUUCAUCCAAAUCCGUUAGUCAGCUUUUGAGUAAUGUUGCUAACAGACAGACAAACCAACGCUGUUAUAUCUUCACAUACCUCCGCCGCUUUCCUUGGCGAGUAAUAAUUAUAGCUUCGGUAGUGUGGUAAAU